UGUACGAGCAGCCAUAGAUGUGCAGACAUCCCUAUUGGAAGAAGAUCCGAACAAGAAUUAUCAAGAAGACAAAAGACAUGGCGUACUUCCUGUUAUGGUGCCUGAAAUUGGCAUGAAGUUUCAGGAUGAGGUAGAGGCUUGGAAGUUUUGGAAUACAUAUGGAUUAACACGGUUUUGAGGUUAGAAAGAGAGAUGCAAACAAAAGAAAAUCUAUUGGAAUACUGAGAUCAUUUAGAUUUAUUUGUGCAAAAGAGGGUCAGUGGAAAUAAGGUAAAAUAAGUCAUCUUGUAAACGACCACGAGCUAAAACUAGAACUAAAUGUCUUGCUGUAUUUUGAACUAAAUGUAUUAUUAUUGUUCUAUCUUUUGGAGAUAGAAACACGAGCAUACAGUCAAUCUCAGCAUGCAUUUAGUUUCAAUUAAAUCUUGGUAAACAACUUGGCUGAUUCUAUUUUUCUUUAGUUGGAUGUUAGUAUUUCAGUUUUGGCUGAUUCUAUUUUUCUUUAGUUGCUACCAUACUGUUUAUUUUAGCUUGAAGCUACAUAUAAUUCAUAUUACAGUUAAUGACUUUGGGAUAUGGAAUUCUUUAUUCAUCCUGGUUCAUCUUGGAUUUCCUCAUUAGCUUAGUAGUUUGAGGAAUUUCUAUAACAGCCAUGGUCUUCAAGUGAUGUACUCUAUGUUUUAUGUACUUGAUUUGAAUGUUUAUUUAGUAAACAACUUGGCCAAAUGUUUCUCUUAGGUUCUGUCUUUGUGAUCAUAUGGAAACCUCAAAUCUUCACUUCCCACUGUAUCAAAUUCCUUGGGAUCCUUAUGACGCAAAAAAAACUUAUUCUCCUAAGAUAUGUGAGAUGGCCAAGUUCUUGGGCAAAGACAUUUGUUUGCUUGAAGACAUCAACACCUUCUAACUGCUCCAAUGUCAUCAUGCUUCUGAUCCCAGCUGGAGUGUUGAAACAGGAGUGCAUCAACUUUCAUGAGAUAAUGAUCCAGUGGACGUGCCAAUGACAAGGUCAUAGAAGAAGCUAUGCUUGAGGAAGCUAUGAGUGACUGAAGGAUUUCAUUUUCCGUACUAUCAUGUUUCAACUUUCAUUGGCCAGUCAUCAAAGAAGUAUAUGAUGUGUUUGGAUUUGGGGUUCUGUUAGUCAAGUUGAUCAUUGGUCAGAAGGCGUUGGAUUUUGGAAGAGUAGCAAAUCAGAAAGGUGGAAUGCUCGACUAGGUUAAGAAACUUCAUAAAGAAAAGAAGCUACCUUUCUUUGAUGGACAAAGGCCUGGGUAGCAACUAGGACAGGGUUGAGUCAAUACCACUUGUCUCACUGGCCUAGAAUGUUCGAGGUGAUCAGGUGGAAGGAGACGGGCUCACACAGAGAUGGGAGGUGUCGUAGAACGUAGACACGCCAGAGUUCGUCUCAUCGGAGCUCCUACUUCAAAAGUACAUGGAUUUUGCAGCGGACGAAUGCUCGCUUGGUGUAGAAGCCAUGGAGCUCUUUGGACCAAGGUGACCAUCUGAUCGACCGGAUCGGCCAUCACACAGGUCGCAUAGGUGUAUUGCCAUAUCAAGCCUAUAUUAUUGUUGUGUUACAUUGGACGCAUAGGGAAGGGAAAAAUCCAGUGGAUUGUAGGGUGUGAUCUGUCUGUCUAUAGUUGUGGUGGCAUUCAUUUGUGCAGAUGAUUUGUGAUAUAUUGAUGUCGAGAAUACAUAUGUUGUUUAUUUCUAUGUAAUCGUUGCACACUAUAAUGUUAUCAAACAACUUUUGUAUUGUUGCAA
Zea mays is the source of this 1761-nucleotide long non-coding RNA. RefSeq lists it as uncharacterized. The record is from RefSeq and is a predicted model, not a curated record. Lineage: Eukaryota; Viridiplantae; Streptophyta; Magnoliopsida; Poales; Poaceae. The transcript is spliced from 4 exons.